This 461-nucleotide ribosomal RNA is filed under the name uncultured bacterium. RNAcentral's name for it is "partial 16S ribosomal RNA". It matches the Rfam family "Bacterial small subunit ribosomal RNA", at positions 338 to 795 of the family's 1533-position model. The record is from RNAcentral.
CCUACGGGAGGCAGCAGUGAGGAAUAUUGGUCAAUGGGCUUACGCCUGAACCAGCCAAGUCGCGUGAGGGAAGACUGCCCUAUGGGUUGUAAACCUCUUUUGUCAGGGAGCAACGCCGGCUACGUGUAGCCUGACUGAGAGUACCUGCAGAAAAAGCAUCGGCUAACUCCGUGCCAGCAGCCGCGGUAAUACGGAAGGUCCGGGCGUUAUCCGGAUUUAUUGGGUUUAAAGGGAGCGUAGGCCGCAUGUCAAGCGUGCUGUGAAAUGUCCGGGCUCAACCCGGGCCUUGCAGCGCGAACUGGCGUGCUUGAGUCCGCGGGAGGCAGGCGGAAUUCGUGGUGUAGCGGUGAAAUGCUUAGAUAUGACGAAGAACCCCGAUUGCGAAGGCAGCUUGCUGCAGCGAAACUGACGCUGAUGCUCGAAAGCGCGGGUAUCGAACAGGAUUAGAUACCCUUGUAGUC